GUGGGGAAUUUUGGACAAUGGGCGCAAGCUUGAUCCAGCAAUGCCGCGUGUGUGAAGAAGGCCUUCGGGUUGUAAAGCACUUUUGGCAGGAAAGAAAUAGUGCGUGCUAAUACCAUGCGCGAAUGACGGUACCUGCAGAAUAAGCACCGGCUAACUACGUGCCAGCAGCCGCGGUAAGACGUAGGGUGCAAGCGUUAAUCGGAAUUACUGGGCGUAAAUCGUGCGCAGGCGGUUUUGUAAGACAGGUGUGAAAUACCCGGGCUCAGCCUGGGAACUGCACUUGUGACUGCAAGGCUAGAGUGUGUCAGAGGGAGGUGGAAUUCCGCGUGUAGCAGUGAAAUGCGUAGAGAUGCGGAGGAACACCGCUGGCGAAGGCAGCCUCCUGGGAUAACACUGACGCUCAGGCACGAAAGCGUGGGGAGCAAACAGGAUUAGAAACCCGAGUAGUCC
RNAcentral lists this ribosomal RNA (450 nucleotides) under uncultured bacterium. RNAcentral describes it as "partial 16S ribosomal RNA". It matches the Rfam family "Bacterial small subunit ribosomal RNA", at positions 354 to 796 of the family's 1533-position model. The record is from RNAcentral.